GCCGAAGUGGUGGAACUGGUAGACACGCUACCUUGAGGGGGUAGUGAGCUUCGCUCGUGGAGGUUCGAAUCCUCUCUUCGGCACCA
This 86-nucleotide transfer RNA is filed under the name SAR86 cluster bacterium. Its description in RNAcentral is "tRNA-Leu". It matches the Rfam family "tRNA". Rfam says of the family: Transfer RNA (tRNA) molecules are approximately 80 nucleotides in length. Their secondary structure includes four short double-helical elements and three loops (D, anti-codon, and T loops). RNAcentral also lists the same sequence under 1 other name. The record is from RNAcentral. Lineage: Bacteria; Pseudomonadati; Pseudomonadota; Gammaproteobacteria.